GGCGGCGUGCCUAAUACAUGCAAGUCGAGCGAAUGGAUUAAGAGCUUGCUCUUAUGAAGUUAGCGGCGGACGGGUGAGUAACACGUGGGUAACCUGCCCAUAAGACUGGGAUAACUCCGGGAAACCGGGGCUAAUACCGGAUAACAUUUUGAACCGCAUGGUUCGAAAUUGAAAGGCGGCUUCGGCUGUCACUUAUGGAUGGACCCGCGUCGCAUUAGCUAGUUGGUGAGGUAACGGCUCACCAAGGCAACGAUGCGUAGCCGACCUGAGAGGGUGAUCGGCCACACUGGGACUGAGACACGGCCCAGACUCCUACGGGAGGCAGCAGUAGGGAAUCUUCCGCAAUGGACGAAAGUCUGACGGAGCAACGCCGCGUGAGUGAUGAAGGCUUUCGGGUCGUAAAACUCUGUUGUUAGGGAAGAACAAGUGCUAGUUGAAUAAGCUGGCACCUUGACGGUACCUAACCAGAAAGCCACGGCUAACUACGUGCCAGCAGCCGCGGUAAUACGUAGGUGGCAAGCGUUAUCCGGAAUUAUUGGGCGUAAAGCGCGCGCAGGUGGUUUCUUAAGUCUGAUGUGAAAGCCCACGGCUCAACCGUGGAGGGUCAUUGGAAACUGGGAGACUUGAGUGCAGAAGAGGAAAGUGGAAUUCCAUGUGUAGCGGUGAAAUGCGUAGAGAUAUGGAGGAACACCAGUGGCGAAGGCGACUUUCUGGUCUGUAACUGACACUGAGGCGCGAAAGCGUGG
This 746-nucleotide ribosomal RNA is filed under the name Bacillus cereus. RNAcentral's name for it is "bacterial SSU rRNA". It matches the Rfam family "Bacterial small subunit ribosomal RNA", at positions 38 to 764 of the family's 1533-position model. Lineage: Bacteria; Bacillati; Bacillota; Bacilli; Caryophanales; Bacillaceae. The record is from RNAcentral.